UACGAAGGGGGCUAGCGUUGUUCGGAAUUAUUGGGCGUAAAGGGCUCGUAGGCGGUUUGUCGCGUCGGGAGUGAAAACACCGGGCUUAACUCGGUGCUUGCUUUCGAUACGGGCAGACUAGAGGUAUGCAGGGGAGAACGGAAUUCCUGGUGUAGCGGUGAAAUGCGCAGAUAUCAGGAGGAACACCGGUGGCGAAGGCGGUUCUCUGGGCAUUACCUGACGCUGAGGAGCGAAAGUGUGGGGAGCGAACAGG
Molecule: ribosomal RNA, 253 nt
Filed under: uncultured bacterium
Lineage: Bacteria
Description: partial 16S ribosomal RNA
Rfam family: Bacterial small subunit ribosomal RNA
Source: RNAcentral